UGGAAUUUUACUGACAAACCUUACUGGAGAAAUGAUGGAGCUGACUCCUGUGAGUUUUCUCACACACGAUUAAACUUACCCUCAAGACGGAAGAGUUGGAUCAACGCUAAGUUUCUACUACCAUAGCCUAAGAAGUUUAGUUCCUUCCAUGAGGGCUGGAGGGCUAGUGAACAUGCAGUUUCUCUGUAGAAGGGCUAAUCCAGGCAAGCUUGUGUCCUCCUCUUAAACCCACUGGUCAGAUAAUGCAGUUCUGGAAAAAGGCCAGGGCCUAGGGAGAGUUAGCUUUUCAUGGAACCCAAGGAGUGGAGGAAAAUAAACAUUUUAGUGCAACAUCUAGCUACUAAAACUCACAUGGAUGUCAUGGCAACUGAAGAGCGAUACCUUUCUCUCAGGGGAAAAUGAGUCUAUAACAUUCUGCUCAAUAGAGUUUAGCCAUUAAUGGGUUAAUUACUUUUAUUUACAAAGUAUACCUGACAAAUAUACAUGUGGAUGUAUAUGUAUAAAUUAAUCACAAAUAGGAGCGUACAUAAGUAUGAAUGUAACAUAUGCAUUCAUGUAUUCAGCUUGAGCACUUUUAUGUGGAGAUAUAUCGUUGGAAAUUUUAUCUAAAAAAAAUCGAAAGGGAGACAGUUGGCACCGCCCAGUUCCACAGACCCAUGCAUAACAUGAUGUUGAACAAUAAUUCCUAAGAAGGUUUAAAGAUGAUAUGCAAGAAAGUGGCUUCUGACAUCAAAACCUUAUAAAAAUAACACUCCAAUAAAGAAGACACAGCACAUGCAUGUCUCAUAAAAAGCAAACAGUUAGAGUCAGUGUGGGAACUAGGACUUCCCUUUAGAAACAUGCACGGCAUUCGCCAGGACACUAACGUUUGGGACUAGCUUGAUGCUCCACUCAACUGAAGUUGGUUGGUAAACUGUGGGUUCUCUGACUGCUUUUUGGUGUCUAGGUUUAUAUGGGUUCACUGCCAACCCCACCUUGAGGAUGGAGAAAGAGAACUUAGUUUCUCUUUAAGACUAUUUAUGUAUCUUUAAUAUAAAAAAUUAAACAGCUUCAUAACAAAGGAAAAAUGUUUCUUCUCACCUAUCAACAUAAAUGUAAAGUCCGAAGCUGGAUAUUAGCAAACGGAAACAAUGUUAGCUAGAGCUAUCCGUAUCCACCUUCUGCUUCAAGCACUCACUGGUGGCAGAGUCCAUAACCUGCAGAAGUGAUCGUGGUCUUUUGCUGCCUCAUAGAAUGGCCAAGCACAGAGAUGGCUUGGACGUGGCCGAGCCAUAGGAGUGUUUAUGUUGGGUAUGGCAGGCCCUGGGUUUGACCUCAUAGUAUUACUCCCUGUUUCAGGUUCAGAGAAAUCUCUUUACCAAAUUUAGUUAUACUUGUGAUUAGAACACUGUUCAUCCAGCCAGAAAAAGAAGAGAAGGAAUUUCUGAAGUCCAGUGCAGCAUAACUGCAGAAGCCAUAUCAUAAAAAACACGCCUAAACACCCAGGCUUUCCUUCCUUCUCCAAAUGAGGAAGAAGCCAAGGCUGUCUGGUAUACCAACUCCUGUGCAGCCUUGUAACUGAAGGGCCUACCAGUACCAAUGACAAAGACAGGUAUAAGACCUAGGGUUUGAAAUGGAGAAACCAGGGAAGAAAUCUGGGUUCUUACAGAUCUAUAGAGAAAUAAGAUAACUUUAAUAUCUUAAUGAAAUCAGUCAAUCUAAGAGAGUUAAUUAUCAUUUUCCUAUCAACAGAGAAACAGAAUAUGAAAAUAUAAGUGCAGCAUCAAUACCUUGGAAGAAUUUCUAAUAAUUAGGAAUAAAGAUGUAUGAGGUGCAUAUUCAGGAAAACGUAAAAGUGGAAAUAUAAACUUUAAUAACUAAAAUCAUCCUUAUAAUGUAAUUUUCUCUCAAAUUGUCCCAUAAAUAGCAAUGAAUCCAAUGUAAUCUUACUAUACUUUGCAGCAUACUUCUGUGUUUACUUAUUUUUGGUAGCAGAAAUAUCGGUUCCUAGCUUGUCCUAGCAUUUAAAAUGCAGACG
RNAcentral lists this long non-coding RNA (2017 nucleotides) under Mus musculus (house mouse). RNAcentral describes it as "long non-coding RNA chr3:146969755-146971772". Lineage: Eukaryota; Metazoa; Chordata; Mammalia; Rodentia; Muridae. The record is from RNAcentral.